GACGAACGCUGGCGGCGUGCUUAACACAUGCAAGUCGAGCGGUAAGGCCCUUUCGGGGGUACACGAGCGGCGAACGGGUGUGUAACACGUGGGUGACCUGCCCUCAGCUCUGGGAUAAGCCUGGGAAACCGGGUCUAAUACUGGAUAUGACUCCAUGACGCAUGUUGUGGGGUGGAAAGCCUUGUGCGGCUGAGGAUGGGCCCGCGGCCUAUCAGCUUGUUGGUGGGGUGANGGCCUACCAAGGCGACGACGGGUAGCCGGCCUGAGAGGGCGACCGGCCACACUGGGACUGAGACACGGCCCAGACUCCUACGGGAGGCAGCAGUGGGGAAUCUUGCGCAAUGGGCGAAAGCCUGACGCAGCGACGCCGCGUGAGGGAUGACGGCCU
RNAcentral lists this ribosomal RNA (388 nucleotides) under uncultured bacterium. RNAcentral describes it as "bacterial SSU rRNA". It matches the Rfam family "Bacterial small subunit ribosomal RNA", at positions 28 to 417 of the family's 1533-position model. The record is from RNAcentral.